AGAGUUUGAUCCUGGCUCAGAACGAACGCUGGCGGCGUGCCUAACACAUGCAAGUCGAACGUGAUCCAUCCUUCGGGGUGGUGAAAGUGGCGCACGGGUGAGUAACGCGUGGAUAAUCUGCCCGAGGAUUUGGGAUAACAUCUCGAAAGGGGUGCUAAUACCGAAUAAGCCCACGGGGUCUACGGAUCUUGCGGGAAAAGGGGGGGACUUUCGGGCCUCCUGUCUUCGGAUGAGUCCGCGUACCAUUAGCUAGUUGGUAGGGUAAUGGCCUACCAAGGCGACGAUGGUUAGCUGGUCUGAGAGGAUGAUCAGCCACACUGGAACUGAGACACGGUCCAGACUCCUACGGGAGGCAGCAGUGGGGAAUUUUGCGCAAUGGGGGAAACCCUGACGCAGCAACGCCGCGUGGGUGAUGAAGGCCUUCGGGUCGUAAAGCCCUGUCGGGAGGGAAGAAAUGAUUGAGAGCUAAUACCUCUUGGUCUUGACAGUACCUCCGAAGGAAGCACCGGCUAACUCCGUGCCAGCAGCCGCGGUAAUACGGAGGGUGCAAGCGUUGUUCGGAAUUAUUGGGCGUAAAGCGCGUGUAGGCGGUCUUUUAAGUCUGAUGUGAAAGCCCCGGGCUCAACCUGGGAAGUGCAUUGGAAACUGGGAGACUUGAGUACGGGAGAGGAGAGUGGAAUUCCUAGUGUAGGAGUGAAAUCCGUAGAUAUUAGGAGGAACACCGGUGGCGAANGCGGCUCUCUGGACCGAUACUGACGCUGAGACGCGAAAGCGUGGGUAGCAAACAGGAUUAGAUACCCUGG
This 803-nucleotide ribosomal RNA is filed under the name uncultured bacterium. RNAcentral describes it as "bacterial SSU rRNA". It matches the Rfam family "Bacterial small subunit ribosomal RNA", at positions 8 to 790 of the family's 1533-position model. The record is from RNAcentral.